This 867-nucleotide ribosomal RNA is filed under the name uncultured archaeon. RNAcentral describes it as "bacterial SSU rRNA". It matches the Rfam family "Archaeal small subunit ribosomal RNA", at positions 1 to 878 of the family's 1478-position model. The record is from RNAcentral.
CUCCGGUUGAUCCCGCGGGACCCGACUGCUAUCAGAGUGGGACUAAGCCAUGCGAGUCAACGCAGCAAUGCGUGGCAUACGGCUCAGUAACACGUAGUCAACAUGCCCAGGGGACGUGGAUAACCUCGGGAAACUGAGGAUAAACCGCGAUAGGCCAAGAUUUCUGGAAUGGAUAAUGGCUGAAAUCUAUAUGGCCCCUGGAUUGGACUGCGGCCGAUCAGGCUGUUGGUGAGGUAAUGGCCCACCAAACCUGUAACCGGUACGGGCUCUGAGAGGAGGAGCCCGGAGAUGGGCACUGAGACAAGGGCCCAGGCCCUAUGGGGCGCAGCAGGCGCGAAACCUCUGCAAUAGGCGAAAGCUUGACAGGGUUACUCUGAGUGAUGUCCGUUAAGGGCAUCUUUUGGCACUUCUAAAAAUAGUGUAGAAUAAGGGGUGGGCAAGUCUGGUGUCAGCCGCCGCGGUAAUACCAGCACCCCGAGUGGUCGGGACGAUUAUUGGGCCUAAAGCAUCCGUAGCCGGUUCUGCAAGUCCUCCGUUAAAUCCACCUGCUCAACAGAUGGGCUGCGGAGGAUACUACAGGGCUAGGAGGCGGGAGAGGCAAGCGGUACUCAGUGGGUAGGGGUAAAAUCCUCUGAUCCACUGAAGACCACCAGUGGCGAAGGCGGCUUGCCAGAACGCGCUCGACGGUGAGGGAUGAAAGCUGGGGGAGCAAACCGGAUUAGAUACCCGGGUAGUCCCAGCUGUAAACGAUGCAGACUCGGUGAUGGGUUGGCUUCGAGCCAACCCAGUGCCGCAGGGAAGCCGUUAAGUCUGCCGCCUGGGGAGUACGGUCGCAAGACUGAAACUAAAAGCUAUAGGGGGGGAGCA